This 461-nucleotide ribosomal RNA is filed under the name uncultured bacterium. RNAcentral describes it as "partial 16S ribosomal RNA". It matches the Rfam family "Bacterial small subunit ribosomal RNA", at positions 338 to 795 of the family's 1533-position model. The record is from RNAcentral.
CCUACGGGUGGCAGCAGUGAGGAAUAUUGGUCAAUGGCCGGAAGGCUGAACCAGCCAAGUCGCGUGAGGGACGACUGCCCUAUGGGUUGUAAACCUCUUUUAUAAGGGAAGAAUAAAUGCUACGUGUAGCAUGAUGCCUGUACCUUAUGAAUAAGCAUCGGCUAACUCCGUGCCAGCAGCCGCGGUAAUACGGGGGAUGCAAGCGUUAUCCGGAUUUAUUGGGUUUAAAGGGUGCGUAGGCUGUGAGGUAAGUCAGCGGUGAAAUGCCCCCGCUCAACGGGGUGAAGUGCCAUUGAUACUGCCUUGCUGGAAUGCGGAUGCCGUGGGAGGAAUGUGUGGUGUAGCGGUGAAAUGCAUAGAUAUCACACAGAACACCGAUUGCGAAGGCAUCUCACGAAUCCGCGAUUGACGCUGAUGCACGAAAGCGUGGGUAUCAAACAGGAUUAGAUACCCUGGUAGUC